This 293-nucleotide ribosomal RNA is filed under the name uncultured bacterium. RNAcentral's name for it is "partial 16S ribosomal RNA". It matches the Rfam family "Archaeal small subunit ribosomal RNA", at positions 455 to 747 of the family's 1478-position model. The record is from RNAcentral.
GUGCCAGCCGCCGCGGUAAUACCGGCAGCCCGAGUGAUGGCCGCUAUUAUUGGGCCUAAAGCGUCCGUAGCCGGCCAGACAAGUCCGUUGGGAAAUCGGCGCGCUCAACGCGUCGGCGUCCGGCGGAAACUGUCUGGCUUGGGGCCGGAAGACUCGAGGGGUACGUCCGGGGUAGGAGUGAAAUCCCGUAAUCUUGGACGGACCGCCGGUGGCGAAAGCGCCUCGAGAAGACGGACCCGACGGUGAGGGACGAAAGCUGGGGUCUCGAACCGGAUUAGAAACCCUUGUAGUCC